Schizosaccharomyces pombe (fission yeast) is the source of this 677-nucleotide non-coding RNA. The record is from the annotation of a GenBank genome assembly. Lineage: Eukaryota; Fungi; Ascomycota; Schizosaccharomycetes; Schizosaccharomycetales; Schizosaccharomycetaceae.
CGGAUGAAAGUGCGCCGGAAACGUCAGACUUAUUAGCGAGAACCAAAAUUGAAGUAAACAAAAGUUUCUAUAUGCAUGUUAAGAUAAUUCACAUUUUCAGCCUACCUCUUCUACCAACAAUUCUUGUAAUGUAUUUCUGCAUUCUUCUAAACGUAAAUCAUCCAAGCUGUCAACAACCCAAAUAAUUGCUUCGGUUGAUUCAAAGUAAUUUUUCCAAAAAUUUCUUAGCGUUUUCUGCCCCCCAAUGUCCCCUUGAAUUAGUAAGCUUAAGACUGUUCAUUUCGAAAAUUGCAAGCUACGUACAUAUCGUGAAUCGGAGUCCUUCUACUUCAAGCGUUCGAAUUUGAAAGCCAAAGGUAGGCGAAACUUCAUUUACCUAUCAAUCGAUAAAUUAUGGAGCCUUAAAAGAUACUUACAUCCUCGUUCAACAGGCACUUCAAAAUUGUCGUUUUACCUGCAUUAUCCAACCCCCUAAAGUCAUUAGAUUUCACUCUGUAUAUAUUUGAAUCAUCUUACAGUAACAAAACCCUGACUUCUCGUUCCUUUAGCUUUUGCUGUCUCAAAAUAGUCAAUAAUCCCAUUUCUCAAUAGUAGAGUAACCAAGAAAUAAGAAAAUAUGCGAUGAAUUUGCCUUGCAUUGCGUUACUCAACAAGGGCUUAAGCUAUCAACUUUAUAG